Molecule: ribosomal RNA, 604 nt
Filed under: Salmonella enterica
Lineage: Bacteria; Pseudomonadati; Pseudomonadota; Gammaproteobacteria; Enterobacterales; Enterobacteriaceae
Description: bacterial SSU rRNA
Rfam family: Bacterial small subunit ribosomal RNA
Source: RNAcentral
AAAUUGAAGAGUUUGAUCAUGGCUCAGAUUGAACGCUGGCGGCAGGCCUAACACAUGCAAGUCGAACGGUAACAGGAAGCAGCUUGCUGCUUUGCUGACGAGUGGCGGACGGGUGAGUAAUGUCUGGGAAACUGCCUGAUGGAGGGGGAUAACUACUGGAAACGGUGGCUAAUACCGCAUAACGUCGCAAGACCAAAGAGGGGGACCUUCGGGCCUCUUGCCAUCAGAUGUGCCCAGAUGGGAUUAGCUAGUUGGUGAGGUAACGGCUCACCAAGGCGACGAUCCCUAGCUGGUCUGAGAGGAUGACCAGCCACACUGGAACUGAGACACGGUCCAGACUCCUACGGGAGGCAGCAGUGGGGAAUAUUGCACAAUGGGCGCAAGCCUGAUGCAGCCAUGCCGCGUGUAUGAAGAAGGCCUUAGGGUUGUAAAGUACUUUCAGCGGGGAGGAAGGUGUUGCGGUUAAUAACCGCAGCAAUUGACGUUACCCGCAGAAGAAGCACCGGCUAACUCCGUGCCAGCAGCCGCGGUAAUACGGAGGGUGCAAGCGUUAAUCGGAAUUACUGGGCGUAAAGCGCACGCAGGCGGUCUGUCAAGUCGGAUG